RNAcentral lists this ribosomal RNA (894 nucleotides) under Asterochloris mediterranea. RNAcentral describes it as "bacterial LSU rRNA". It matches the Rfam family "Bacterial large subunit ribosomal RNA", at positions 948 to 1709 of the family's 2925-position model. Lineage: Eukaryota; Viridiplantae; Chlorophyta; Trebouxiophyceae; Trebouxiales; Trebouxiaceae. The record is from RNAcentral.
UAGCAACUAAGAAUACUAGGCAGGCUUUCCGUUGACCAGUGAGACAGUGGGGGAUAAGCUUCAUUGUCGAGAGGGAAACAGCCCAGACCACCAGUUAAGGCCCCAAAAUGACCGCUAAGUGUUAAAGGAGGUGAGAAUGCUGAAACAACCAGGAGGUUUGCUUAGAAGCAGCCACCCUUUAAAGAGUGCGUAAUAGCUCACUGGUAAAGCGUUCUUGCGCCGAAAAUGAACGGGACUAAGCGGUCUGCCGAAGCUGUGGGUAACCUAGUAAUAUUACACGUGUUGUGCUUGCUUGUCACGCUUCCUUUGGACGCGAAGCUGUCACAUACAUUGGUUUUAAACCAGGUUACGGUAGGGGAGCGUUCCGCUGUAGGGUGAAGCAGUAAUGUGAGUUGCUGUGGACAAAGCGGAAGUGAGAAUGUCGGCUUGAGUAACGCAAACAUUGGUGAGAAUCCAAUGCCCCGAAAACCUAAGGGUUCCUUCACUAGGUUCGUCCAUGGAGGGUGAGUCAGGGCCUAAGGCGAGGCCGAAAGGCGUAGCCGAUGGGAAACGGAUUAAUAUUCCCGUACUAAUUUGUAGUUAACACCGAGGGACGAAGGAGGCUAAAGUUAGUCAGUAGUGGAUGCUGUCGGAAAUCUUCGAGGCUUUGAGAGGUAGAAAAGAAACUGUCCUUGAGCUGAGAGGUUAUACACCUCUAUUUGUAGUGUAUGUGAGGAUUAUCUGUUACCAGGUAAAUCACAAAAGCGGGAUAGUUGUUAACUUGAUGUCACACUUCCUAGAAAAGCUCGAACUGUGCGUUAUGUGUUCCAUAACUUCUAUAAAUUACCUGUACCCGAAACCGACACAGGUAGGUAGGUAGAGUAUACCUAGGGGCGCGAGAUAACUCUCUCUAAG